UCGUAAACUUAAAUAAUCCUAAAACAAGAUUAUUCGCCAGAGUACUAUCGGCAACAGCCCAAAACUCAAAGGACUUGGCGGUGCUUCAUAUCCUUCUAGAGGAGCCUGUUCUGUAAACGAUAAACCACGAUUAACCUCACCAAUCCUUGCUACUUCAGUCUAUAUACCGCCAUCUUCAGCAAACCCUARAAAAGGAACGAAAGUAAGCACAACUACURCACGUAAAAACGUUAGGUCAAGGUGUAACCUAUGGAUUGGGAAGAAAUGGGCUACAUUUUCUAUAAUAAGAACACCCCUUAAACUCACACGAAAGUUUUUAUGAAACCUAAAAACUAAAGGAGGAUUUAGCAGUAAAUUAAGAAUAGAAUGCUUAAUUGAAUAAGGCCA
Molecule: ribosomal RNA, 387 nt
Filed under: Tursiops truncatus (common bottlenose dolphin)
Lineage: Eukaryota; Metazoa; Chordata; Mammalia; Artiodactyla; Delphinidae
Description: partial 12S ribosomal RNA
Rfam family: Bacterial small subunit ribosomal RNA (bases 40-387)
Source: RNAcentral